GAUGAACGCUAGCUACAGGCUUAACACAUGCAAGUCGAGGGGCAGCGGUAUCGAAAGCUUGCUUUCGGUAGCCGGCGACCGGCGCGCGGGUGAGUAACGCGUAUCGAACCUGCCUCAUACUCGGGAAUAGCCUUGCGAAAGUAAGAUUAAUGCCCGGUGUUUUCAGAGUCCCGCAUGAGGCUUUGAACAAAGAUUUAUCGGUAUGAGAUGGCGAUGCGUCCCAUUAGCUUGUUGGCGGGGUAACGGCCCACCAAGGCAUCGAUGGGUAGGGGGUCUGAGAGGAAGGUCCCCCACAUUGGAACUGAGACACGGUCCAAACUCCUACGGGAGGCAGCAGUGAGGAAUAUUGGUCAAUGGGCGGAAGCCUGAACCAGCCAAGUAGCGUGCAGGAAGACGGCCCUCCGGGUUGUAAACUGCUUUUAGUUGGGAAUAAAACGGGGCUCGUGAGCCCCCUUGCAUGUACCAUCAGAAAAAGGACCGGCUAAUUCCGUGCCAGCCGCCGCAGUAA
RNAcentral lists this ribosomal RNA (508 nucleotides) under uncultured bacterium. RNAcentral's name for it is "partial 16S ribosomal RNA". It matches the Rfam family "Bacterial small subunit ribosomal RNA", at positions 28 to 523 of the family's 1533-position model. The record is from RNAcentral.